GACGAACGCUGGCGGCGUGCCUAACACAUGCAAGUCGAACGGAGAAAUUAUUUCGGUAAUUUCUUAGUGGCGAACGGGUGAGUAACACGUAAACAACCUGCCUUUUAGAUGGGGACAACAUCUCGAAAGGGAUGCUAAUACCGAAUGUUUUAGCUUUACCGCAUGGCAGAGCUAAUAAAGGUGGCCUCUAUUUAUAAGCUACCGCUAAAAGAGGGGUUUGCGUCUGAUUAGCUAGUUGGUGAGGUAACGGCUCACCAAGGCAAUGAUCAGUAGCCGGUCUGAGAGGAUGAACGGCCACACUGGGACUGAGACACGGCCCAG
Molecule: ribosomal RNA, 321 nt
Filed under: uncultured bacterium
Lineage: Bacteria
Description: bacterial SSU rRNA
Rfam family: Bacterial small subunit ribosomal RNA
Source: RNAcentral